Molecule: long non-coding RNA, 4921 nt
Filed under: Homo sapiens (human)
Lineage: Eukaryota; Metazoa; Chordata; Mammalia; Primates; Hominidae
Description: HSALNT0318895
Source: RNAcentral
AGCCUCCCAGCCAACAUCUUACUCCCGUGCUUGAUGUUUCCUGACCUCGAACAUCGAACUCCAGGUUCUUAGGCUUUGGGACUCCGACUGGCUUCCUUGUUCCUCAGCUUGCAGAUGGACUAUUGAGGGACCUUGUGAUCAUGGAAAAAAACAAACCAACCAACAAACUGAGCCUGAAACUGAUAACACAGAUACGUACAGCAUCAUAUUUAAGUAACCAAUCGGAAUUAUUGCAGUGGAGAUGUUUUAUUGCCACCAAAGAUUUGCUGUCAUCCACACAGAAGAAUAAAAAGAUGAAAUAUCAGGAAAUUGGAAUGUUGCUGAAACACUUUGCUAAGUACAUUCUGGCAAUGGAAAACAUAGCACAACUCUCAAGUCAAUCAUCAACGUGAUUGACAUACAAAGCAGGAAGAUUUCUACCCUCAUGCCCCCUCUUUACCUUAUUUCUCUCUCUCUACUACCCAUACCAUAAGCAGAGCAAUCCCUAGUCAAAACUGUAAAAUAAAUCAACUUGGGGGGUGACUAAUGCUGUUUUAAUUUGUAAUUUGGCCUCUACAUCCAUCAGGAUAGAUGAGCAACUCCCACAGACUUAGAAGUUUGAAACAACAAAAGCUUGUUUAUCUCAUGCUAAACAUCUUGAGUCAGCAGGAGAGUCUGACUUGGAGACCUAAAGUGAUGGGAUCCUCACUAUCUGGAACAUUGGUAAAAGGAACAGAGUAUGCUAAAUUGUGGGUUAAUACUUCAAGGCUCACAUUUCGUUGGCCAAAUCAUAUCACAUAAUUGCGUCUCACUUAAAGAGGAGUAAGGUUGAGUAAUCCUGCCAUGUGCCUACCCCAUAGGGAGAGAAUCAGAAAACAGGUGAAAUAGCAAUAAUGACCAUCUCAGGCCUCCUUUAUUUUUCAGAAAUGUUCUGCUUUAUUGUCAUAACUCUGGUCAUUUAAAUCGCUCAUAUGUGAUCUUUUUUUUCUACAACCAAAAUCCCUAUAAUGAUAGAAAAAAAUGCAACUGAUUGUAUAAUUUCAAAGAGGAAGAGCUUUGCUUGUUCCUAGCACAGAUAUGUUUUAGUCAUCUUUGUAUCCUCAAUACCAAGGACAAUAUCUAAAAUGAAAGUUGGAGGCACUCCAUAAUACUUGUUAAAAAAUGAAUAGUUUUUUUAAAGUAGUGAAUUAACACGACCUCUGAACUUUCAUACAAAAACAAUAAUGAAAUAAUUACUUUCAAUUCAAAUAGAAAGUGAAAAGUACACAGAGUAAAAAUAAUAUGUCAGUGUUGGAAAUGGGUUUAUGACAUCGGUAAGAAUCCACACCAAGGCAAUGAUCACUCAGCAAGGCUAAUUUACUUUCUGCAGAAAGGGUACAACUCACCAACAGUCUCACCACGAGAGCACGCCAAACAAAGGAGACAGGGACAUUUAUAACUUACAUAACCUGAUGCAAUCGCCCUAUGGCAGUGUCCUAUUUCCAUUGGUCAGAAUGGGACCUCACAUUCUAAGCUUGACCCAAUUGGUUAACAGCUUGGAAAUUUCCCAAAUAGGCAAAAGAGAAAGAGGACAAAGCAAAGAGGAAGCUAGUCAUGAGAUGGCCAGAAGGGUUUCCAAAUAAGGAAUGGCAUGCACUGUGGUCAGGGGCUUUAGUCCUGUCCAGGUGUGCCGGGGGAAGUUAGAGCAGCUGCAUUAGAACAUAUAGAUAUAGAUAUACAUAGAGCAAGGAAAUGACAAGCUCUUUAUGGUUUCAAGAAACUUUGAAGAAGAACUUCUCUAUUCCUCACAGUCAGAUAACUUUCUAUUGUUAUUGAUUUUAUCCUAAUUGUAUUGAAAUUUUGAUGUUCCCAUAAUCCUGCUUCCAGCCUUUUUCUCUUAGUAUACAUGCUAACCCCUGGUAAUAAGGUAGAAUCAUGAGAGCAGAAACAACAUUUACAUUUUGUUUUUCUACUAUAAUGAAGCCAAAAUCUUAAUCAGGACUCAUCACACAGUAGAUAAUACAUUGAAUGAAUCUCCACCAUUAAGGCUGAAGAUAUUCUCCAUAAGAUUAUAAUCCCCAAUUCUUACAUCCAGUCCAAAUCUCUCUCUUAAUCUUCAACUGUGUGUGUGUGUGAGUGUGUAUAUAUACAUAUAUGUAUUCUUUAUAUGCUAUGGGUAUCUCAAACUACACAAGUCCAAACUGGAUGCAUUAACUCUACUUCCUUCCAAACCUGAUCUUCUAGCCCACUAUUCUAUGAAAAAUACUAUCAGUUACCUAAAUCAGAAAUCUGAGUAUUAUUUUUGACUAUUUCCUCACUCUUACAAUCCAUAGCCAGCCAAUCAGUAAGUAUGGUCAAAUCUACCUCUUCCCUGUCUUUUAAAUAUUACUUUAUUUUCUCCAAAUUCCUUGACAAUGACCUGCAUUAAGCCACUAUUACUUCUUAUGGAAUUAAUGGAACAUUCUUUUGACUUUCCUCUAGCCCGUUUGUAAUUUUUCCUCCAAGCGAUACAUGAAAAUCUAAUUCUACCAUUUUCCUGUUUAAAGUCAUACAAUAGGAUAUUUUUGUCUCCAGUAAAAAAUAUCUAACACAAAUAUAUUUUUGUUUAAUAUUUUUAAAUAAUAAUUAUUUUUUCUCCGUUUUCCUUUUUAGCCUUAUCUCUAAACAUCAGCAGAUAUGACACCAGAUUAAAACAUUAGUAUUUAACAAUGGGGAUUAUAUAAAUCUUUGAUAGUUUGAGUGAUAUUAAAAAAAGAACUUUUAGCAAACACACACACACGCACACACACACACACACACACAUACAUAUAUAUAUUUCUAAAAUCACUUUACUUCUCCCUAAAGAAAAAAAAUGCUAGGAUAGGUGGAUAUCUGAAAAUCCACAGAAAAAAAAACAAAAACAAAACAAAACUGAUGGAUUCCAUCUCCUUAGCUGAGUGUGCCACUGAUGUUCUUAGAUGUUAGAUAUGGAGCUUGGAUAUUUGUCCAUUUCUAAAAUACUAUGAAUUUUAUAGAACAGUCUUUGAGACACAGGGAAUAUAUUAUUAUUAUUUCCACAUUGCAAAUUGGGAAAAUGAAUUUUCAGUGAAUUAAUUGAUUUGCCAAAGGUCGGUCAAUUAUUUUCUGACAGAGCAAAGAUGAGUCUUCAGUUUUCUCACCCUUUCUUCUACUCCAGUGUUUAUCUGGGAUAUAUGAAAGUGGGGAUAGGGACUACCAAUCUCUGCAUCCUAGAAGAUUAAAUCUAGAUCUAAAGGAAAAGGAGAAUUAAGUAGACUAAAAUGAAAAUCAUGGUGAUAAUUUGACUUUAAAGGAUGCCUUGCUUUUUCUGUGCCAUAUCAUUUCCACUAAUAAACUAUCAUUUCAGUGUUUAUAGUAACCUAGAAUAUUAGCAAUACACUUGCAAAACAAAUGGUGAAUAGUUAAGUAAGUAAGAUUGUAAGAUAAAAUAAAGAUGAUUAUAAUACUGUCAUUUACUACAUGUGCCUAUGUACAUUAACUCACUUAAUUCAUUUUAAUAAUAAUUUUACUUACCUAUUGCCUACAUAUUUCCUUCUGACAGCACAAGUCUCCAAAUUAUGAGUGAGUUAGCACAAUCUUAGAUAAUUUAGAGAAGACUGCAUUGCUGUCACAGUGAAUACUAAGUAACUUCUGUAUUCUGCUACUGAGUUUUGAUAAUAUUUGUAAAGUCUGUUACUUAUAAAAUCUGUAGCUGUGUUGCAUUAUACUAAAUUAUUUAUUUUUUAAUCAGGAAAUAUUCUUUGGGAUUAUUUGUUUUUCCUUGAAAUUUUAUACUUUUUUAUGAUCCUCACCAAAACUAAUCUCUAGCUAAUCACUUUCUCACUCCUUUCAAAAGCAAAUUUUGAAUGUUUUGUUUAGCAAGUAGAUUUCACUAGAGUUUAGAACAAAACACAGUAAUUAAAUGUUUUUUUGUUUUUUUGUUUUAACUUUGGAAUGUGCAUCUAACAACAUGCUCUACAGUUCAGUCCUAAAUCAAUCACUGGAGUUUCUAAUUUCUCCUCCUACUUUUUAAUAUCCUAGUGGCUCUAGAACAUCUCAAGCAUGAACUGUGUGCUAAGAGGCAAAAGAUCUAAUAAAUAUAUUACUGUAGCAUAUUUAAGAGUUUUAGCUGUAGUUUUUUUUUAAUUAUAUUUCCCUCUAAAUAAAAGUAGCACUAUAACAGGGGAGUUUUAAGUGAUCUUCAGGCAUUUUCCCCCAUUUUUUCUUUGUGAGACUACCACAAACAUUUGGUUGCCAAUUUAAGUGAGUACCAUAAUUUGACAAUAUAUUUUAAACUGACAAUGGAAUUCACAAAUCACCACUUGCUUACUUACAUGGCUGAAAUCACUUUAUUUCUCUGCAUUCAAAUAUUUUCUCUGGAAAAUGCAAGAAAUAAUAUUGACCUUACUCAAUGCUAACUAAUAAAAGUGAUCACCAAGCUCUUAAUAGAUGCAAAGUACUAUGCAAAUGUAAGUGCUCAAUGAGGCAAUGAGUCUCGUGGAAUAUUUUUCUGCUCUGUUAAAAUGCUUGAAUGUUCCAUCUUCAUAAAAUCAGUUCACAAUACUACUAAAGAUGUUUCAUUAAUAAAAUCAUUGAAAAGUGCAUCGAUUUUUUCAAUUAAAAGGUGGGAUACUUCUUUAAUGUAAAGUUAGAGUAUUUGAGGAGCAUUUGUACCAAAAGUCUGCUUAAAAAUGCAUGUCAAUGAGUGAUCAGUAAAACAUUCAGCAGGUUGUUUGAGCCAAAGGCCAAAUUACUUUUUAAAAAUAGUGCUUUGUUUCUAUAAUGUGAAGCUGGUAUUUCUAAUUACCAAAUCACCUACUGUUAUUAGUAGAAAAUAUUUGGGAUACGUACACAUCACCUAAUGCUCCCUGGAAAAUCUAUUUACAUGGUUAGGGCUAGUAAAAACAAGGGAUUCUGAAUGAUCUGAUCAUGCAAUCAGAUUUAAUUGCUCUCUGUUGGUGCAAAC